This is a non-coding RNA of Carcharodon carcharias (great white shark), 417 nucleotides long. NCBI's taxonomy places the organism in Eukaryota, Metazoa, Chordata, Chondrichthyes, Lamniformes, Lamnidae. The record is from the annotation of a RefSeq genome assembly.
AUGUCUCCUGUUACUUUGUAUUUAUCCCUCACAGCUGCAGCUCUUUUAACCGGACGUUGUGGAGGAGACUCCGUUUCACAGACACCGGCCGCAGUCACAGUGAGUGAAGGACACAAUGUUCAGUUGCUCUGUAAUUUUACAGCUACAACCACCAACCCUAACCUGUUCUGGUACCGUCAGUAUCCCAGCGGAUCCAUGGAGUAUCUGCUGCAGAGGAAUAAAUUCAGCGAGGACACAGGAAGAUUCCCGGGAGACCGUUUUUCAGCGGCGUUUGAUGAUAUGAAUCGCACGGUCCCUCUGAAAGUGUCUAAAACUGAACUGAGCGACUCCGCGGUGUAUUACUGCGCACUGGAACCCACAGAGACACAGAGCGAGGCUGAACCUGUACAAAAACUGCCAGAGAGUCUCUCAACAUAA